UCCUUCGGCCAUACCACCCUGAACGCGCCCAAUCUCGUCUGAUCUCGGAAGCUAAGCAGGGUCGGGCCUGGUCAGUACUUGGAUGGGAGUCCCUACUGAUUUUUGAUGGUA
RNAcentral lists this ribosomal RNA (111 nucleotides) under Canis lupus familiaris (dog). The record is from RNAcentral. Lineage: Eukaryota; Metazoa; Chordata; Mammalia; Carnivora; Canidae.